CGAGUUGGCUAGACAAUCGCUGUACCUUUGGGUAUAGAGGAAAGUCCGGACUCCAUAGGGUAGAGUGCCAGGUAACGCCUGGGGGGCGCGAGCCUACGGCAAGUGCAACAGAAAGUAUACCGCCGGCCUAGCCGGUAAGGGUGAAAUGGUGCGGUAAGAGCGCACCGCGUUGCUGGUAACAGUAGCGGCGAGGUAAACCCCACUCGGAGCAAGACCAAAUAGGGAUCCAAUGGUGUGACCCGCACUGGAUCCGGGUUGGUUGCUUGAGGUGUGUGGCGACGCACAUCCCAGUUGAAUGAUUGUCCACGACAGAAUCCGGCUUACCGGCCAGCUCGUUUC
RNAcentral lists this RNase P RNA (339 nucleotides) under Legionellales bacterium. RNAcentral describes it as "RNase P RNA component class A". It matches the Rfam family "Bacterial RNase P class A". From Rfam's summary of the family: Ribonuclease P (RNase P) is a ubiquitous endoribonuclease, found in archaea, bacteria and eukarya as well as chloroplasts and mitochondria. The record is from RNAcentral. Lineage: Bacteria; Pseudomonadati; Pseudomonadota; Gammaproteobacteria; Legionellales.